CCUUGCCAACAAUGCCCCCAGUGUGCAAGAGCGACGCUGAUCCAGGAGCAGUUUUACCCAUAAAGGGAAGAAGGAUCAGCCUUCAAGAAACAGUAAUGUAGGCAGAGGAAGAGGAGGGAGGAUUGCGUCAGAAUCAGCCUCCUCUGACUCAUCAGCCCUGCUCUCUCCCUGACAAACACACACUCCCCCCUCUGUCUCCCGCUCUCUGUAUCCAUGUUUGACUGCGUAAUCUUGUCACAUGAGAGCAAUCAGUCCAGAAACAGUUGCCAGGGAAGCUUUUUCCUUCCUUACAAAAAGACAGACUCAGGGAUCUUAGAUGUUGUUAACUUGAUUGCACUACAAUAAACGCUUUCUGGGUGCC
Molecule: long non-coding RNA, 361 nt
Organism: Pundamilia nyererei
Lineage: Eukaryota; Metazoa; Chordata; Actinopteri; Cichliformes; Cichlidae
Exons: 2
Source: RefSeq, a predicted model, not a curated record